RNAcentral lists this small RNA (631 nucleotides) under Rattus norvegicus (Norway rat). RNAcentral's name for it is "uncharacterized LOC103694361". Lineage: Eukaryota; Metazoa; Chordata; Mammalia; Rodentia; Muridae. The record is from RNAcentral.
GAGAAUCUCAGAUUCCUCAGCUGAAUGGUGGUGAACCUGGACGGUAAGAUCAUAGUUCAAGCAAGCAGAAUUCUGUUGUGGUGCAGAGAAUAAAGGAGGCAUCGCUUGAAACUUGCCAGAUCUUCUAAAACUCACAGAUCCACAGUGCUGCCAUCAAGAACAUCUGGACUAGUGAGACACCGUCUGCUUAGAAAGGGAAGGAGAUAAGCCGAUGCUAUUCUACUGCUAACAGGACAGCCUACCAAGUGCAUGAUAUACUAUUGAAAUAGUGGACCCCCAAGAACUGGAAUUUCCCCCAGGGGGCUCUUGCAGAAUCCUGGUACCAGCCAGAGGAAGAACUUAUCACACCACAAGAGAUCUCACAUACUUCUGGUUAUUGUCAGAUUACAUUGUAGAAGAGAGUGGUGUUUGGACAAUGGCAGGCACUCUCCUGGUAUCAAAAAACAGCUAAAGGAAGAUACAUCUGCUGAUCUGAAAGUGAUUCUGACCAGGGAAGGAAAGAAGCCAACAUAUAUUAACAUCAUGAAUUCGCAGCAGGCUGCUUGACCCCUUCUGGUGUGUGGACUGGGCAGCUCCCUGGAGGAAGGACAUAAAUGUCACUGUGGGGACAAACUUGAGACAGGUGAGCAGA